Molecule: long non-coding RNA, 1396 nt
Filed under: Fukomys damarensis (Damara mole-rat)
Lineage: Eukaryota; Metazoa; Chordata; Mammalia; Rodentia; Bathyergidae
Description: lncRNA (ENSFDAG00000033308.1)
Source: RNAcentral
AUGAGGCUGCCAGGCCUCUGUUCUGGGAGUGAGCACCUAAGAGUAUCUCAUAGGCGCUGUUGUGGCUGGAAAUCCUUUUCCAGAUGCCCAAAGACCCACGUGCCAUGGAAGAGACACAGUUACCAUGCCCACCACUUCCCGGGUGAAAGGCCCCCCACUCCAAGUACAGAGAACAUGGCGUCUCAGCUCAACGACUACAGCCAGCUUCUCACCGGAAAUCUGGGGCUGAGGGCGGGGGCGGAGCAGAGGGGAAGAUCUGUAAGCCACCCAGACCUUGGCUGGUUGAAAACAAGCCUCUGUCCAGGAACCUCACGCUGCCCUCUGCCCCCACCCCAGGGACCAGCUGGCAAGAACUACAGCUUGUAUAAACAAGGCCACAGGAAAGCCGGCCCCUUAUCUGUUAUCAGUUCUCUUGCUCCAGCUCAGCCACUUUGCCGGAACAGGGCAGGAGGAGGGAGCUGCCUGGACUCCUCCCCUUUCUUCUUUAUCUUUGCUCCAAGGCUGGUUCCUCCUCCCCCAGGGAUGGCGGGGCUCCCAGGUCACUCCUUCCCGCCAGCCAGCAGAGAAGGGAGGCGUAGCUACCAACCCGAGUCAAGAAGUCAAGGCCAGUCUCUGAUUGCACCGGGAGAGUCCCUCCUUCUUGGUUCCAUCAGGAGGGGGUCCUGAAUGUGUUUAUGUUGUAGGAGGAGGUGGGCAGGAGCGGCAGCAGUACAGCCUGUCCGCUGAAAGCUGUGAAGUAUUCACAAGACUCCUACCCUCUGUCUUUAACAUCUAGGACGGGAGGCUUGCAUUUGAGUCCUCAGGUGUCUAGUUGGAACAAGACGGAUGAGAGUUUAUUGGAUACAAGUCCUCUCCGGCUCUAAAACUCUGUAAAGACCAAGUUAGAAGGCUGCCAAGAAAGGUUGUAGCCAGGGGGAGACUGACUGUCUCCUUCUGAACUUCUAAUUUCACAAGUGUGGUACUGACCCAGAAAGAGGGGGCGGCAGGCUAAUACUCUCCAGGCUGUCACGUUGCACUAGGGACAUUCCAGCCUGUGAAAACUAGGAGUCUGUGGCAUCUGGUUCCAUGAAAUGAAAUAUCUGAGCCACAUCCCUAAGAAAACAGAUUCCUGUAUUUCAGACCAACUGAACUGUGAAGACAGAAGAUGCGAGCUGCUUCCCCCUCGCACAGCCACAUGCCCUUCUCCUAUCAGAAUCCAGGGGUCCAUGGAAAUGGUUGAAAGGAACAGUGGACUCCAGCCUCUAAAGCAAGACAGAUGAAGUUACGGUCUCCAAACUACCUAACUGAGCCAGAUAUAGUGGUGAAUGCCUAUGAUUCCAGCACUCAAGAUGCCAAGGCAAGAGGAUGGCCUCAAGUUCAAGGUCAGCCUGGGCUACAUAGUGAGUUCAAGUUCCAC